This 216-nucleotide long non-coding RNA is filed under the name Amborella trichopoda. Its description in RNAcentral is "long non-coding RNA (ATRI_LNC004668)". The record is from RNAcentral. Lineage: Eukaryota; Viridiplantae; Streptophyta; Magnoliopsida; Amborellales; Amborellaceae.
GAUAUCGUCUUCUCGUUCCCAAGUGGACUCUUCUCUUGAAUGGUACUGCCAUAAUACACGGACUAAAGGAAUCUCCUUCUUGCGCAACACUUGCACCCUUCUAUCCAAUAUCAAAAUUGGCUGCUCAAUGAAGGAUAGGUCCUUCCUGAUCGGUAAAGGUUCAUAUUUCAAGAUAUGGGAUGGGUCGGGCUGAUAUUUUCGUAGUGAAGAUACAUG